GAAAAAGAUAUAUUUUCUCUCGCUAGAUGGCAUCGUCGACACAAUAACAAAUACGACAAUUUGAUAACAGACCGGCUAAGAAAAUGUCAGAAUCAAACAAGGAUCUCAAAGACUUUGACUGGAAACUCAAGUUAGCAUUGGAGAGUAACAAAGUGAGCGCACUUAAUACGCCGAUCGUCGAGUUAACAUUACACACAAACAGUGACUCGUGUUCUGUGGAAAUGGACUCCCUUGGCCUCGACAACUUAAUUGGCAAGAUUAAAGAAGCCCUUUCGAAAACUACAAAUCAAGUCUCCAAUUGAUCUACUAUCACUGUUCUAAUAAAUCUAACAAGUCACCUAAUGAGUCUGUAUAAAAAUCUGGUAUCAGAAUAUGUUGUUCAUUGUUUUUGUACUGUUCAAGUUGUUUCAGGCUUGUAACACCAGUUAAGACCAGAAGAGUUGUCAGUUGGCAGUUCUUUCCAAAACUUAUGUCUGUAUUGCACCUGUAAAAUAGUUGCAUUAUGAGUCAUGUGAAGUGUUUAUCUUAAUAUUAUCUCUAUUUACCGAUCUCCAA
Molecule: long non-coding RNA, 555 nt
Organism: Daphnia pulex (common water flea)
Lineage: Eukaryota; Metazoa; Arthropoda; Branchiopoda; Diplostraca; Daphniidae
Exons: 2
Source: RefSeq, a predicted model, not a curated record